GGCGAGAUGGCAGAGCGGUCUAAUGCGAUAGACUAGAAAUCUAUUCUCUUCGGAGGCACCGGUUCAAAUCCGGUUCUCGUCG
RNAcentral lists this transfer RNA (82 nucleotides) under Pseudocercospora eumusae. RNAcentral describes it as "Mycosphaerella eumusae tRNA". It matches the Rfam family "tRNA". Rfam says of the family: Transfer RNA (tRNA) molecules are approximately 80 nucleotides in length. Their secondary structure includes four short double-helical elements and three loops (D, anti-codon, and T loops). The record is from Rfam by way of RNAcentral. Lineage: Eukaryota; Fungi; Ascomycota; Dothideomycetes; Mycosphaerellales; Mycosphaerellaceae.